Long non-coding RNA from Drosophila grimshawi, 502 nucleotides. RefSeq lists it as uncharacterized. The transcript is spliced from 2 exons. NCBI's taxonomy places the organism in Eukaryota, Metazoa, Arthropoda, Insecta, Diptera, Drosophilidae. The record is from RefSeq and is a predicted model, not a curated record.
CUUGCUUUUUCGACAACUGUCAUUUGGGAAUUGUGCUAAAUUGAAUUGAUUGUAUGACAGCAGUUUUGGGCUACUUGAGUGAAAAUGAACUAAUUGAACACCAUUCAGGAGGCCAUAUGUAUAAAAUAGUUGGUGUUUUUCGGAAGAGGAGACAACGCAGCUGCUGGGCAGAUACACCAGAACUCCGACAAGCCAGAUGUCUUUUGGGUGGCUAUAAUCGUAAACGAUUUAAGCAAGUAAUAACCAUGGGUAUUUAUAUUUAUAGGAAAGCGAGGAGGAAUCCUCAAUGCACAUCCUAGCAGAGUGUUUUGCCUUAACCAGGAAAGGAUGCAGCAUUUUAGGUAUGCAUGUUAUGAGCUUCAAAGACAACCCAGCAAGGAACCUAGCAUUUGUGCAGGAGGAGCUGGGCUCAGAAGGGAGCACAAUUAUAAUAACAAAGAGUCGUCGAACAGUUGUAAUUAAGAGAUACAUGUUAACUACAAAUAUAAAUAUUGAAUUUUCG